GCGUAUGUAUGUAUGUGUGUGUGUAUGUACGUAUGUAUGUAGCACUGAUUUUUUUCCGAUGCAUAUGUAUGAUACGUGUAUCUCAUAUAUCAGAUUUCAAACAGAUGUAUUAUCCAUAAAUUAUGGAAAGAAAACAUGAGUUCUUGAUAUGUAUCAAAUACAUAUGUCUGAUGCAUGUAUACUUGGUACUUAUGAUUGAUACAUUAAUUUAUUUUGAUAAAUAUUGAUGGACUCUG
RNAcentral lists this long non-coding RNA (236 nucleotides) under Capsicum annuum. Its description in RNAcentral is "long non-coding RNA (CANN_LNC015276)". Lineage: Eukaryota; Viridiplantae; Streptophyta; Magnoliopsida; Solanales; Solanaceae. The record is from RNAcentral.